Molecule: ribosomal RNA, 751 nt
Filed under: uncultured bacterium
Lineage: Bacteria
Description: bacterial SSU rRNA
Rfam family: Bacterial small subunit ribosomal RNA
Source: RNAcentral
GCUGGCGGCGUGCUACACAUGCAAGUCGAGCGCGAAUGGAGCAAUCCUAGUAGAGCGGCGCACGGGUGCGUAACACGUGGAUAUCUUGCCUAAAAGCCCGGAAUAACCUGCCGAAAGGCAAGCUAAUACCGGAUAAGCCUACGGGGUCUUCGGACCUUGGAGGAAAAGGUGGCUCUGUAUACAAGCUAUCACUUUUAGAUGAGUCCGCGGCCCAUCAGCUAGUUGGCGGGGUAAUGGCCCACCAAGGCUACGACGGGUAGCUGGUCUGAGAGGACGAUCAGCCACACUGGAACUGAGACACGGUCCAGACUCCUACGGGAGGCAGCAGUGGGGAAUUUUGCACAAUGGGCGAAAGCCUGAUGCAGCAACGCCGCGUGUGUGAUGAAGGUCUUCGGAUCGUAAAGCACUUUCGACCGGGAAGAAAACCCGUUGGCUAACAUCCAACGGCUUGACUGUACCGGGAGAAGAAGCACCGGCUAACUCUGUGCCAGCAGCCGCGGUAAUACAGAGGGUGCAAGCGUUGUUCGGAAUUAUUGGGCGUAAAGCGCGUGUAGGCGGCUUUGCAAGUCGGGUGUGAAAGCCCUCAGCUCAACUGAGGAAGUGCGCCCGAAACUGCAGAGCUUGAGUACCGGAGAGGAUGGCGGAAUUCCCAAGUAGAGGUGAAAUCGUAGAUUGGGGGAGGAACACCCGUGUGGGCCGAAAGGGCGGCCAUCUGGGACGGAUACUGACGCUGAGACGCGAAAGCGUGGGU